AAACAUUUUCAAGAAAGUUUGAAAAACUCAUAUUUUUUAAAGCUUUCUAAUUUUUGAAUUUCAAUCUUGUAAUUCAAAGUUGAAUAUCAUCUUCAAUAUCUUGUACUUCAAUUCGUUUAUUUAAAAUAAAAUUAUCAUAUCUUAAUUUCUAAGUCCUAUAUAUAUAUAUGGCGGCUAAGUGAGAGAUAUAUAUAUACAGCACACACGACAGAGAAUUGAGAUAGAUAACAUACACAAGCGGUUGGACAAAAACGGCAUUUAGAAAAGCAGUAGGGAAGAAGACGGCAACUUCAAUUGGGAGAAUAAAUCACUUUUCGUCAAAUUUUGGUGAUGUCGUUCCACUUUUAUUUGUUUAAUUCCGAUAUUAUGUUAGGCUAAAUUAUUUUUGUGCAUGGAUUAUAUCAACCUUAUAUCAUGAAUCUUUAAUUCUUGAUUUUUUUUUGUUUUUUGUUUUUUGUUUUGUUUUGAUUUUUUUUUUUUUUUUGACAUUCGAAACAUGUUUUAAAUUUUUGAAUGAUUGAUAUGAAUUUAUUUUUAUCUACAAUUACUUGAUCACUAAUUGUAUGAAUGUUGUGUCUUGUUUUACCUUCGAAAGAUGGAAAAUAAGUUAGACACAAUGUCAAUUAUCAUAGAAUCCGAUAGGGAAUAGAAAUAUCCCACUAUACUUUACAUGAUAUUUAAGUAUUCACAAAUCCAUUAGUACAUUUUUAUAUGUUCACAGCCGUUACAAAAAUAUAGUAAAGUCACAUGUAAAAGUAUGUUUAAUUCUACUUGAGAUUUUUAUAUGUUCGUAGCCGUUACAAAAGUAUUCGCAAAAGGUUUUGAUUUCUAUGUUUCAUUUGAAUUGUCCUAGGAACCAUAAACUUCCUCAUCCUAUUGUCAAUGGCUUUAUCCAAACCUAAGGUAGUCUUGAUUAUCUCAGGAUAUUCAGUCAUGUUGUUAAACGUGAUUGUGUAAGAAUAUAAAUAAUCAUGACGCAAUUUUGAAAAUGGUGAACUUGCUGAGAUUGUGUAAUAUGUCUGCGUCCCAUGGUUUUGUGAGUUCUAAGUUUCCCAUCUUGAUUCGUGCUUUGCUUUAAAGGAUUUGGGUGCUUUAGUUAUUUCCCGCUCCUUGAGUUCCAAAUCUUGGCUUCAUCAUUGUCAAUGUAAGUAUCUUUUUGAUACGUUAGCUAGAGCUCUCAAUUAUCCUUGUCGAUAUCUUGUGCUUCACUUAUGCUCUUCAGACGUUGCUCUUUGUUAACGAUGUUAAUCUUUCACAUCUUACUCAAUAUAGGUGUCUCGCUGGAGAUAUGCUCCAUCAUUACUCUCCCAAGAUGGAAGUUGUACACACAUGUUUGGCUUAUAUUAUUUAUUUAUUUAUUUAUUUUUUGUAUCAAGUGUCAUAUUAUUGAAAUGAGCUGCUUCUUUCAUUGAAGCAAGGCCAAACAUGCCUUUAGUAUUUUAGACAAGUAGAGGAGCUAUAUGCAUUCAUUUCUUUUUUGUAGUUGGCCAUUGACAUCCAUUCAACGUCAACGAAAAGAUAAAACGAAAGUAAGGUUAAAUUGCAGUAGCCGUCUUUAAUCUUGAAAUACUGGGAUGGCCAAAUAUCAUUCCACAUUGUACAUCAAUAACCUUGAUUUAUUCGGAUAAAUGAUCGGAUUGUUUGCCCCAU
This 1650-nucleotide long non-coding RNA is filed under the name Olea europaea subsp. europaea. Lineage: Eukaryota; Viridiplantae; Streptophyta; Magnoliopsida; Lamiales; Oleaceae. The record is from RNAcentral.